RNAcentral lists this ribosomal RNA (253 nucleotides) under uncultured microorganism. Its description in RNAcentral is "partial 16S ribosomal RNA". It matches the Rfam family "Bacterial small subunit ribosomal RNA", at positions 524 to 776 of the family's 1533-position model. The record is from RNAcentral.
UACGUAGGGUGCGAGCGUUAAUCGGAUUUACUGGGCGUAAAGCGUGCGCAGGCGGCCCGUUAAGACAGGUGUGAAAUCCCUGGGCUCAACCUGGGAAUGGCAUUUUGAACUGGCAGGCUCGAGUUCUGAAGAGGGUGGUAGAAUUUCCAGUGUAGCGGUGAAAUGCGUAGAGAUCAGGAGGAACACCGAUGGCGAAGGCAGCCCCCUGGGCCUGUACUGACGCUCAUGCACGAAAGCGUGGGGAGCAAACAGG